This 66-nucleotide microRNA precursor is filed under the name Fukomys damarensis (Damara mole-rat). Its description in RNAcentral is "miRNA (ENSFDAG00000006887.1)". The record is from RNAcentral. Lineage: Eukaryota; Metazoa; Chordata; Mammalia; Rodentia; Bathyergidae.
GGCUCUGGCUCCGUGUCUUCACUCCCGUGUAUGUCCGAGAAGGGAGGGAGGGACGGGGGCUGUGCU